GUACCUGGAGUCCUAGCUACUCGGGAGGCUGAGGAGGGAAGAUCACUAGGAGAUCAAGUGCUCAUUUCUAGGUAGAAAGAUAUAGACACUAUAUCAUUGAUUCAGCUCAUUAGCACUUGACGUUCUAGUGAUCCUCCUGCCUCAGCCUCCCGAGUAGAUAGGACUACAGGUACACACCACCACCCCCAGCUGUUGCCUGCUAUUGUUGUUUCUAUUCCUUGCAGCCGAAUGGAGUCCUACCUAGUUGAAAAGACAAAUUUAUACUUAUUACAAAUGUGUCACAUUCUAUUAUAAUUGCUGGCUCUAGAUGUAGUUUAUAAUAAACUCUUGAUUGUGGUCUAUGCUUUUAUACAGAUUUCUCAUUUCUUAUCUCUGCUCAAGGUUGAUGAUUUUUUUUUUUUUUUGAGACAGAGUCUUGCUCUGACAUGCAGGCUGGAGUGCAGCGGCACAAUCUUGGCUCACUGCAACCUCCACCUCCCAGGUUCAAGCAAUUCUCCUGCCUCAGUCUCCCAAGCAACUGGGACUACAGGCACGUGCCACCAUGCCCGGAUAAUUUUUUGUAUUUCUUUUUUUUUUUUUUGAGACGGAGUCUUGCCCUGUCGCCCAGAGUGGAACGCAGUGGCGCAAUCUCAGCUCACUGCAAGCUCCACCUCUUGGGUUCAAGCCAUUCUCCUGCCUCAGCCUCCUGAGUAGCUGGGACUACAGGUGCCCACCACCAUGCCCAGCUAAUUUUUUUGUAUUUUUAGUAGAGAUGGGGUUUCACCGUGUUAGCCAGGAUGGUUUCGAUCUCCUGACCUCAUGAUCCACCUGCCUCGGCCCCUCAAAGUGUUGGGAUUACAGGCGUGAGCCACCGUGCCUGGCCAAUUUUUUGUAUUUUUAGUAGAGACAGGGUUUCACCGUGUUAGCCAGGAUAGUCUCGAUCUCCUGACCUUGUGAUCUGCCCACCUCGGCCUCCUAGAGUGCUGGGAUUACAGGCGUGAGCCACCGCACGCGGCCGGUUGAUGAUCUUAAUACAGUGAUGCCAAGGAAAUCCAAGGAGAUGCAGCUCGAUCUGUCACAUCUUCUGUCUUUGUUAAGGCAGCUCUGAUAAAAGGAAGGGCUCACAGAUAAUCUGUAUUUCCCACCUCUUUUACAAUGGGGCCUUAUGACUGAGCUCUGGCCAAUGGAAUGUAGGUGGGAGAGAUGCAUGCCUGGCCUGGCUCAUAGAAACCUUCCUCAUGGCCCUUCCUUCUCCUCCCUUCCAAUGUGACUCUUGACGGUGACAUGCUGAAGAUGGGCGUGCAACCUGGGUCUUUGGGGAUCCAGUUGGAGAAGAGUGCCCUGAUCCACUUUGGACUAUGGUGAAAGGAAUCCAAUUUUAAUGUUGUUAAACAGCUGAGAUUUUAGGAUUGUUUAUGUUAGUGUGAGUGUAGAAGCUAAUGUUACUUUCACUGACUAACAAAAACACAAAGCAAAAACAGAUGUAGCCCCUGCCUUCACAGAGCCUGAAGCCCAGUGGGUGAAAGAGACAUUAAUAAAAUAACUACAAAAAUAAAAGUAAAAACACAAUUGUGGUAAGUAUAAUAAAGGAUAGGUAUCUGAGGAAACAAACACAUGAGCCAGAGGAAACUCAACCUAGACAACUGCCAUGAUGCAAUUAUGUUGAGAUAUGAAGGGUGAGUCCUGAGAGAACACAGGGGUGUUCCACUAAGAAGGAACAGAAUGUGGGAAGCUGAUAUGGUAAGGAGGAGUAAGGUACAUUCCAGAAACCAAAAAACCCCAGUAUGAGUAGAACACAGAGAAUGAGAAGGAUAUGAUGCAACGUGAGACUGGAGAAACAGGUAUGGACCCAACCAUUCAAGGCCUUAUAGAUUAUAGAUUUCAGUGUCUGUCCUAAGAUCAAUGGGGAGCCAUUCAAGAGUUUUAUGCAAGGCUGGUGACAAAAUCUUGUAUUUUAGACAGGUCUCUUUGGCUGCAAGCCUGAAGAAUGAAUUGGUAGUUCUAUUUCCAGCCAUAUGGUGGGUAGGCCAGAUAACUCAAAAACCCUUCCACCAGAAAGUUAAGAUAUUUUGAAUAAAAUGGAACACACAUUAAGUAUAGGGCUAAGCUUGCAAGUAGAAAACUCCCCAAAUGCCAGGUACAAAGAGGGAACUGAAACAAAAUCAGUAAGCUGUGGGACGUGUAUCUGCCUUGAGGAGCACUGCUCAGGCUCAGUGACUACAGGGAUUAGGUUUUAGUACUCACAUGGGGACAAGGGUCCAUGAAAAUUAGCAAGGGGAAACUGAAUCCUCACAUAAAACUAGACCCUUAAAAAGAUGGCCUAGGGGGGGAAAAAUCCAUCUAUUGUCACAACAAUGCUUGUCUUUUCAUGGUGCAUAGGAAGGAAACAAGUGUCCUUUGAGAAUCUGUGACUAUGCUUUACAAG
This is a long non-coding RNA of Pan troglodytes (chimpanzee), 2404 nucleotides long. RefSeq lists it as uncharacterized. Lineage: Eukaryota; Metazoa; Chordata; Mammalia; Primates; Hominidae. The transcript is spliced from 3 exons. The record is from RefSeq and is a predicted model, not a curated record.